AACGAACGCUGGCGGCAUGCCUAACACAUGCAAGUCGAACGAGACCUUCGGGUCUAGUGGCGCACGGGUGCGUAACGCGUGGGAACCUGCCCUUAGGUUCGGAAUAACUCCCCGAAAGGGGUGCUAAUACCGGAUAAUGUCUUCGGACCAAAGAUUUAUCGCCUUUGGAUGGGCCCGCGUUGGAUUAGCUAGUUGGUAGGGUAAAAGCCUACCAAGGCGACGAUCCAUAGCUGGUCUGAGAGGAUGAUCAGCCACACUGGGACUGAGACACGGCCCAGACUCCUACGGGAGGCAGCAGUGGGGAAUAGUGGAAAAUGGGCGAAAGCCUGAUCCAGCAAGGCCGCGUGAGUGAUGAAGGCCUUAGGGUUGUAAAGCUCUUUUAACCGGGAUGAUAAUGACAGUACCGGGAGAAUAAGCUCCGGCUAACUCCGUG
RNAcentral lists this ribosomal RNA (433 nucleotides) under uncultured bacterium. RNAcentral describes it as "partial 16S ribosomal RNA". It matches the Rfam family "Bacterial small subunit ribosomal RNA", at positions 29 to 507 of the family's 1533-position model. The record is from RNAcentral.